Molecule: ribosomal RNA, 1010 nt
Filed under: Ophiocordyceps sp.
Lineage: Eukaryota; Fungi; Ascomycota; Sordariomycetes; Hypocreales; Ophiocordycipitaceae
Description: SSU rRNA
Rfam family: Eukaryotic small subunit ribosomal RNA
Source: RNAcentral
CGAAUGGCUCAUUAUAUAAGUUAUCGUUUAUUUGAUAGUGCCUUACUACUUGGAUAACCGUGGUAAUUCUAGAGCUAAUACAUGCUAAAAGACCCGACUUUGGAAGGGUUGUAUUUAUUAGAUUAAAAACCAAUGCCCUCUGGGCUCACUGGUGAAUCAUGAUAACUUCGCGAAUCGCAUGGCCUUGUGCCGGCGAUGGCUCAUUCAAAUUUCUUCCCUAUCAACUUUCGAUGUUUGGGUAGUGGCCAAACAUGGUUGCAACGGGUAACGGAGGGUUAGGGCUCGACCCCGGAGAAGGAGCCUGAGAAACGGCUACUACAUCCAAGGAAGGCAGCAGGCGCGCAAAUUACCCAAUCCCGAUUCGGGGAGGUAGUGACAAUAAAUACUGAUACAGGGCUCUUUUGGGUCUUGUAAUUGGAAUGAGUACAAUUUAAAUCCCUUAACGAGGAACAAUUAGAGGGCAAGUCUGGUGCCAGCAGCCGCGGUAAUUCCAGCUCUAAUAGCGUAUAUUAAAGUUGUUGUGGUUAAAAAGCUCGUAGUUGAACCUUGGGCCUGGCUGGCGGGUCCGCCUCACCGCGUGUACUUCGCCGGCCGGGCCUUUCCCUCUGUGGAACCCUAUGCCCUUCACUGGGUGUGGUGGGGAAACAGGACUUUUACUUUGAAAAAAUUAGAGUGCUCCAGGCAGGCCUAUGCUCGAAUAUAUUAGCAUGGAAUAAUAAAAUAGGACGUGUGGUUCUAUUUUGUUGGUUUCUAGGACCGCCGUAAUGAUUAAUAGGGACAGCCGGGGGCAUCAGUAUUCAAUUGUCAGAGGUGAAAUUCUUGGAUUUAUUGAAGACUAACUACUGCGAAAGCAUUUGCCAAGAAUGUUUUCAUUAAUCAGGAACGAAAGUUAGGGGAUCGAAGACGAUCAGAUACCGUCGUAGUCUUAACCAUAAACUAUGCCGACUAGGGAUCGGACGAUGUUAUUACUUGACUCGUUCGGCACCUUACGAGAAAUCAAAGUGCUGGGC